Molecule: ribosomal RNA, 468 nt
Filed under: uncultured bacterium
Lineage: Bacteria
Description: partial 16S ribosomal RNA
Rfam family: Bacterial small subunit ribosomal RNA
Source: RNAcentral
GACGAACGCUGGCGGCGUGCUUAACACAUGCAAGUCGAACGGAAAGGCCCUGCUUUUGUGGGGUGCUCGAGUGGCGAACGGGUGAGUAACACGUGAGUAACCUGCCCUUGACUUUGGGAUAACUUCAGGAAACUGGGGCUAAUACCGGAUAGGAGCUCCUGCUGCAUGGUGGGGGUUGGAAAGUUUCGGCGGUUGGGGAUGGACUCGCGGCUUAUCAGCUUGUUGGUGGGGUAGUGGCUUACCAAGGCUUUGACGGGUAGCCGGCCUGAGAGGGUGACCGGCCACAUUGGGACUGAGAUACGGCCCAGACUGCUACGGGAGGCAGCAGUGGGGAAUCUUGCACAAUGGGCGGAAGCCUGAUGCAGCAACGCCGCGUGCGGGAUGACGGCCUUCGGGUUGUAAACCGCUUUCGCCUGUGACGAAGCGUGAGUGACGGUAAUGGGUAAAGAAGCACCGGCUAACUACGUG